Equus caballus (horse) is the source of this 4939-nucleotide long non-coding RNA. RefSeq lists it as uncharacterized. Lineage: Eukaryota; Metazoa; Chordata; Mammalia; Perissodactyla; Equidae. The record is from RefSeq and is a predicted model, not a curated record.
GCCGGCCCUGGGCUCCGGGCGGGCGGAGGGACGGGCCGCAGCCGGAGGGGGCCGCACCCGGGCGAGGCUGGACGCCGGCGGCCAGGGCCUGGGCCCCGCCGGGCCGGGAGGGGACAUCCGGAGCCCACGGCGACGCCAGGCCGUCCGCCCCCGCCCCCUUCCUCCGGAGGACCUCUGCGCUUGGCUUUGUUUUCUAAUCUUUAUCCCCCACCCCCCCCAUAUUAAUUCCAAAGGAAAUAGGGCUUUCAAGCUCCCUGUCGGUAGGAAAUUAUAAUCCUGGGCAAAGGAAGAGGAAACGUUCCUCUAUGAUCAACACCAUCUCAGUGAGAACUGUGUUCUGCGCAAGCUGUCCCACCGACCGCAUCGGGGCUGGGGGAGGGGGAAGAUGGAGUAAGGAGGCCUGGAAGAUGAGCCGCGUCUUCCUCGUGCUUUUUGCCCAGGGUUGGCUCGUCCUCUUGGUGUUCAGAGGAGGAGCUGUAGCAUCCAGAGCAAGAACUCGCUUGCUUUGUCCGCGUUGGUGAAAUCUUUGGCUCGCUGGCCUGUCCCGGCCUGCUAACUGGCAAGCAAACCCUGGACCGGUUACCCAAGUCUUCUUGGAGUCCUGAGGAUGCCAGUCAUUCUGUGUUAGCAGUGCAAUUGCUCAAGAACGUGGAGUUCAGAAUGGGCUCUAACAGGGUAUUUCUGGAGCGAUGUCUAAUUUGCUGAGUGAUUAUGCAAAGCAUAAAGUGUGCUGUGGUCCUGGGAAUAAUGCAACACUUCCCUUUAGUUGUUGUGGUGAAUUAAUGAUACUUGUGAUCCUGAACGUCUUACUCACAAAGGCAUGUGCCCAUGCGCGAUAAGCCAAACCCUGAGACGUGCUUGGAGGUGGAGAACGGUUUAUUGGAACUGGCCAAAUUGAGGAGGAGGGUGGAUAGGUUUUCUCAAAUCCGCCAAAACAAGAGAAGAAAGCAGGGGAUUUUAUAGCACUAAGGGGCUUGGAAGGAGGAGUUUCGCAGAAACAAAGGGGAAAUCUGUGUUUCUUUCACUCCAGACAAGCUCUUGGGCAAUCUGACUUCUGGGAUCAGUGGCGUCUAGAGGCUGGUUAUCUGGCGAUCGUAACUUCCUUGAAGGUGUUCUGUUUCUUCUGGAAAACAAGCCCAUAAAUCCUUGUGACCCUUGAGUCACCCCUCAGGUUAAACAAGAAAACAGCAAGUUAACAAGAUUAAUUUCUUUUCAUCUGUCUGUGUUGGGAACAUGGUUGAAGGGUAAUUAUAUUUAUUAUUGAAUAUUUACAGUAACCCUCGGGUACCAGCCUCACUGGGUGCUUUCCUGCCCCAAAUGAACUACAAUUAGGAUUUUACAAAUAGUAGUUGGAUUUGUACUUUUGAAUUUUAAGAUUUCCAACAUAUUUCAUAUACACAAAAGGGGCAAGCCCUUUUCCACAACGUUUCCAACUUCUUCACAGAAGCCUAAGCCCCAUGUGACCAAAAGCUCAUACUCUGCUUCGUCAAGGAGAUCACACAGUUACAGCUGCCAACACCUCCCGGGAGUCCUUUGAAAAAUGGCUCAGAAAAAGGCUCUGGAUUCAGGGCCGCCAUUAUGAAGGAAAGGGAAAAACCAGGCAGUUGGCUUUCUGUCCCUAAAAGGUAUCCUCUGAAAAGAAAUUUUCACAUUUUGAGGUAUAUAGGGUAGCUACUCUGGUUUAAAAUUCAUUCAUUUGGCCUGACCUAAAGAAGCCUGAUUUAUGGCCUAUGGAACAUACAUUGUACAUCUCCUUUAACCAUUAAAGGAUGCAUUAAACAUUAUCUCAAAAGAACACACUCUUUGAAGAUAAGAGUGCAUACUUCCCCUCCUACAUCACCAGUAUCAGUAAUGAGUAUCAGUACUCCUAAAGAUAGGUUCCCUUUCCCCGACAUCAGGGUCAUGAACCACUAAUUUGCAACUGAAUACUUCUUUGAAACUUUGCUGCACGUGUAUCCUGGGCGUGUUUGAGGUAUGUUGUUUGUUCUAAAAAGGUGUAAAACUGUACUGAAAACCAAGCUUCUCUUGAACACUUUCUUCCUUUGUGGAGACUGCCUUCCUGGAUUAUGGUCCUCAGCGUGGCUCAGCUGUGCUGUGACAUGGAGAGGCUGGGAGCACUGCCCUUGACGAACGUUACUGUGCAGGAUGUUCACUGCCAUCUGCUGGGAGCAGGCGAAGUUGACAUACUGUUACUCCAGAAGUAAAACAAAGGAGACAUUAAAUACGCAGCUUGCUCAAUGCCAUCCUCUCUUAUGACAUAUAUAUGCUACCCUUACAGGAGAAACUGAAACACAGCUGCUGCAUUGUGAAUCCACGCCGGGAAAGAAACGGUGUCCAGUGAAUAAUGAGAAGGCCCCAGAAUGGCUCCUCUAACAAUCCUGCUUCUUCCUUUACUGGAAUCCUUCCUUGUGGGCUCAACAGCGACUCAUGCAUCGAGGGGAGUGGGACUUGGGACUCAAAGGCACAAAAGGGCAGAAAGGAGGCCACAACUCACUGCUGGGAACUGGACCAGACGAGUCAACAAUGGCAAAGAAGUCCUGGAAUAUGAGCUUCAAAAUCUCAGUCAAAACUCACCCCUAAGAGAAUCUACCUGAUGAAUCUUAUUUGAUCGUGUCAGCUCUUUAACUACUGGUCAUCCUUUCAGCAUGCACUCAGUUAUUUAAGUGGUGAACUGACAGAUCCACCAAACCAAGGCCUGCAUGCCAGGAAGUGUGAGCUGUUGAUCUGUGUAUAGACAUCACCAGCCUUUUGGAGGACAAUUCCCGUGUAUUGGAGACCUGGUUGGUGAACCCAUCCACACCAGGAGGAUGACACACCCCAACGCCAUGGGCACAGAAACUCCUGUGCUUAGGACCCUCCCAGAUCUCGCCUUGUGUCUUUCUUCAUCUGGCUGGUCACCGGUAUCCUUUACCAUAUCCUUUAACAAACUGGUAAAUGUUAAGUAGAGUGUUUCCCUGAGUUCUGUGAGCCGCUCUAGCAAAUUAAUCUAAUCCGAGUAGGGGGUCGUGGGGACCUCCGAUUAGUAGCCAAGCUGGACAGAGGUUGUGGGUAACCUGGGACCUACUCCUUGAAGUUGGCAUCUGAAGCUGGAGGCAGUCUCCUAGGACUGAGCCCUUCACCUGUGGGAUCUGAUGCCAUCUCCAGGUAGAUAGUCUCAGAAUCGGGUUAAAUCAUGGGACACCCAGCUGGUGUCGGAGAAUUACUUGGUGUGGCUCCCCCUGCCAACCCCGUCUGGUGUCAGAAAUGUUGUGAGUCCAUGGUAGUGUGAGAGUAAAGCAGACUCAUAGGAGGAAAAAACUGAGUUUUUCUCAAUACACGUAUUCUUCCCACCCCCCUCUUUUUUUCUAAAAGAACUUUUGAAAAUGUAAAAGUCAUCCCUAGCUCACAGACUGUACAAAAAUAGGCCACAGACUGGCUAUAGUUGGCUGACCCCUGCUGGACCGUCCCCAGUGCCCAGAUCAGUGCUUGGUGGAUACAGAGGAACUGAGAAACAUCGACUGAUUAAUGAGUGAUUACACGACUGAGCGCUAUCGGAGCGCCUCUGCUCUGUGUUUCCUUUUGCAAAUGUCUCCACCGUGCUCCCUUCCACCCUGUACCAUUCCAAGUCCUGAAUCUUUGCAGCGUGCCUGAUCCUAGGAACAAGCCAGUGAAGCCCCCAGAGCCAGAGCCAGGCUGAGUGGCGCCUUCGACACAGCCGUGCACGCUGGGUCGGGGGCUCAUCUCUAAUCUAAUCUAGCAGAGGAGCUCUUCUCACCUGCAGUCGAUGACGUUAAAUGAUUCUGGGGAGAAAAGUGGUGAGGGAGCGUUAGAACGAUAUUAAAUAAUCACCGCAUUUAGAUGGCAGCUAUUUAUGCGUCUCCAUGAACGUGUGAAGUCCUUUCUCCCACGCUGGUUUUUAUCGAAGGUCUGACAAAUCCCGCCUGACUGUGGCAGAAGAAAGUGAGAAUGUCGGGGCAAGCACAGCUUUGCUUCCUCACUAAAUGCAUUUUCAUCUCAGCUCCUGGGAGAGCACACGUUAUUUUCUCCUCGUGCCUCACGUUUAUCACAGCGGCAUCAAUUACUUCUACAGAGCAUCUUUCCAAAGACAUACGGGAAUGUAAGUGAGAAUGAACGGGUUCACUCAGAGAAUUCUUAUUACUGGCAAUUCAGGCACGUGCUCUGCUUCCCUUAAAAAGCCUAUUUUUGAAAAUAAUAUGACAUACUAAAUUUGAAGCAUAGACUAUGUGUGUGUUUUCACACAUUUUAAAUAAUUCUCUCUUUAAAUACUGAAUAAUUGUGAGGCUGAUUAUCAUUCUUUAUAAUAGAUGAAUUCUAUAAAUUCACACGUUUGCUGACCAGAGCAAAAGUAAGAAAUAUAAUCAUCAGUAAUAUCCAUACAGAUUGCAUUCCUUAGCAAAUUUCAUGCUUUGAAAGGUAGUGAACUGAUUCUUCUCUGAGAAGUAUAAAAAUGUCCACUAGGUGUUGCUGCUGUACACUGAAUUAGCCAAAUGAGCCUGAAGAAACAAAGUAAUAACAAUUCCACCCACACGUUCGUUACCAUGAUUGUUCAGGCGAUUAUUAUUGGGAAGACUAAUAAGAAGAUAAAUGGAACAUAACUUAUUUCUAUAUAAUUUUGAAGAUGCUGUCAUUUGCAACUUUUGUUUCACAUAUGGGAAGAAGAAUGCCUUAGGAGAAAAGCUUAGAAGUCAAUACUAACUUUUAUUUUUUAAUGAAACAAUCAAAAGGAGUAUAUAAAAAUAGACAUUUUAGGUAUUGCAAAAAAAAUCAGAGAUAAGGUUACAUACAUAGAUUUUAGACAAUGCUCUGCUUUCAACAAUAUUGAAAAACUUUUGGUUAAUACAACAAUUAUUAAUCUGGAAAUUUGGUAAAAUUCUGUAGCAAUCAAAGUCUUGAAAGAGGGGCCGGCUCCAUGGCCGAGUGGUUAAGUUCGCGCUCUGCU